AAGGUCCUAGCUUAAUUAAAGCACCUGGGUUGCAUUCAGGAGAUGUGGGGUAAUAUCCCGCGGGUCUUA
This 69-nucleotide transfer RNA is filed under the name Zosterops japonicus (Japanese white-eye). Its description in RNAcentral is "tRNA-Ala". It matches the Rfam family "tRNA". Rfam says of the family: Transfer RNA (tRNA) molecules are approximately 80 nucleotides in length. Their secondary structure includes four short double-helical elements and three loops (D, anti-codon, and T loops). The record is from RNAcentral. Lineage: Eukaryota; Metazoa; Chordata; Aves; Passeriformes; Zosteropidae.